CCUACGGGUGGCAGCAGUGGGGAAUGUUGGACAAUGGGCGCAAGCCUGAUCCAGCUAUUCCGCGUGUGGGAUGACGGCCUUCGGGUUGUAAACCACUUUUGUAGAGAACGAAAAGUCUGUUGAUAAUACCGAUAGAUGAUGACGGUACUCUAAGAAUAAGCACCGGCUAACUACGUGCCAGCAGCCGCGGUAAUACGUAGGGUGCGAGCGUUAAUCGGAAUUACUGGGCGUAACGGGUGUGCAGGCGGUUUGGCAAGAUGGAUGUGAAAGCCCCGGGCUUAACCUGGGAAAGCCAUACAUGACUGCAAGACUAGAGUGCGUCAGAGGGGGGUGGACUUCCAAGUGUAGCAGUGAAAUGCGUAGAUAUUUGGCAGAACACCGAUGGCGAAGGCAGCCCCCUGGGACGCAACUGACGCUCAUCCACGAAAGCGUGGGGAGCAAACAGGAGUAGAUACCCGAGUAGUC
Molecule: ribosomal RNA, 465 nt
Filed under: uncultured bacterium
Lineage: Bacteria
Description: partial 16S ribosomal RNA
Rfam family: Bacterial small subunit ribosomal RNA
Source: RNAcentral